Molecule: ribosomal RNA, 179 nt
Filed under: Eyprepocnemis plorans meridionalis
Lineage: Eukaryota; Metazoa; Arthropoda; Insecta; Orthoptera; Acrididae
Description: partial 18S ribosomal RNA
Rfam family: Eukaryotic small subunit ribosomal RNA
Source: RNAcentral
GCUUUUGUACACACCGCCCGUCGCCACUACCGAUUGAAUGAUUUAGUGAGGUCUUCGGACUGGUACGCGGCAUCGACUGUCGUUGCCGAUGCUACCGGAAAGAUGACCAAACUUUAUCAUUUAGAGGAAGUAAAAGUCGUAACAAGAUUUCCGUAGGUGAACCUGCGGAAGGAUCAUUA